AUGGAAACUCCUAUUUAUACUAAACCUAAAAACUAGGUAAAAAUCGUGCAAAAGUCAGGUAUAAUCUCCAAAAUAUGGAAAAGAAUCAAAAUCUAACAAAAUAUGAAAAAUUGCCAAAAUUGAAAAAUUCGCCAAAUUUUUGGCCUGUGUGGACGCAUGGUGUUGUCUUCAGCCUCCGCUUUCAUCGCUUGAUAACAAAUUGAUCCAAGUUGAUUUGGCCUUCGACCCGAACAUGAAAGUUACUCCAUUUUGAGUCCCGAACAUGGUUCCAUCAAUGGUUUCUUGAACGAGCAAUCAUAUUGCUUGUUUCACUUGCUUUGCUCUUGAUCGCGUCAUUGGUCCGCUAUCGACUAUCAACGGGUCUCGUCUCGCACUUGCCUUCGUUGGGCUCGACUCCUGGAUCAUAUCAAAAGCCAAGUUACAUUCCUCAUUCUAGUCAAAGCUUCUAUUUCCCUUAAGUAGUUUGAAGAAGGGAAAACACCUGUCUGCCACCCAGGAAACAAAUCUGUUUAGAGCUGCUAUGCAACCUGUCAACAUCUGAAUGUCCCUUUUGCAUUUAGGGGCCUCCAUUUUUAUCAGAGCUUGGAUUUUAUCAGGGUUUGCCUCUAUUCCUCUAUGUGUAAUCAUAAAACCUAAGAACUUUCCAGAUGCCACCCCAAACGCACACUUCGCAGGGUUGAGCUUCAUGUUGCAUCUUCGUAACGUGGCAAACAUUUCCUCAAGAUUAGAAACAUGACUAUUCACCUGUUUGCUUUUAACCACCAUAUCAUCCACAUAUGCUUCACUUGCUUUUAACCACCAUAUCAUCCACAUAUGCUUCACCUGUUUUCCCAAUUAAUUCAGCGAAGAACUUGUUUACCAACCUUUGAUACGUUGCUCUAGCAUUCUUGAGUCCAAAGGGCAUGACCCUGUAACAAUAGAUGGCCGAGUCUGCCAUGAAUGAGGUCUUCUCUUGAUCUUCUUCUGCCAUGAGUAUUUGGUGAUACCUCGAAAAAGUAUCCAAGAAGCUGUACAACAUAUGACCUGACGUGCUGUCCACAAGGUUGUCAAUUCGAGGUAGGGGAUAACUGUCUUUGGGACAUGCUUUAUUCAGAUCUGUGAAGUCGAUACAGACUCACCAUUUCCCGCUAGCUUUCUUGACCAGAGCUACAUUAGCAAGCCAAUCGAGAUAUUGUACCUCCUGAAUGAACUGUACGUUAACAAGUUUGGCAAUCUCCUCCUUUAUGACUUUUUGUCUUUUGGGUGCAAACUGUCUUUUCCUUUGCUUCACAAGUCUUGCCUCCGGGUUUAUAUUGAGUCUGUGCACCGCAACCUCUGGGUCAAUUACAGGCAUGUCCUCAACAUUCCAAGCGAAUAUAUCACUGUUGCGGGAGAGACAAUUCAGUAGCUCAGCCAUGACUGUUGUAUUCAAAUCACAUCCAACUGUCACUUUCCUGCCAGGCUCGAGCUUGACCUCUUCCAAUCCUUCCACUGGAGACAAUCUGUCAUGAUUCCCAUGCUCGAGCUCGAUCUCCAUAACCUGCAUGACAUUGCUCUUGAUUCUUCAAACACUAGUCACAUAACAUUGUCGUGCCACUAUUUGGCUACCUUGAACUACCCCGACUCUAUUACUUGUAGGAAAUUUCAUUGCCAAGUGAAAAGUUUAGACAAUAGCUCGAAUUCUAUUGAGCAAUGGUCUUCCCAGUAUGGCGUUGUAGGCCAUUGGAGUACGGACAACUUCAAAGGUGGUGAUCUGCGUCACCUGUUUACCUUCUGUCCCCAAUGUUAAAGACAACCCGACAAUACUUUUCGGGGUGAUGACCUCACCUCCAAAUCCUUGGAGAGGUGUUUUCACGGGCUUGAGAUGCUCCAAUGAAAUCCCCAUUUGAACAAACGCUUCAUAAGAUAGUACAUUAGCUGCACUUCUGUUGUCUACUAUAAUCUCUUAACUUCAAAGUUGGCGAUGAUGACCGAUAUGACCAGAGCAUUAUCACGAGGGAAUGCUAUGCCUUCCAAGUCCUCCGUUCCAAUAGUGAUGUCCUCAGUACAACCAAGAUCUGACCUUGAGAUGAUUGGAGGCUGUCUGGCAUAUUGUUUACGCCUGCUACUAGAAUCUCUCCCCAAGGUUGUUCCUCCGACAAUGAUAUUGAUAGUACCUGCAGUUGGUUGCUUAUUUCUCCAACCUUCUGGCCCUUGUCUCUUUUCUGAUUAUUCCUUGGGAGCUUGUCAUCGCUAACGUAAGAGCCCAAAAAUCUCCUUUUUAUAAGAGCCUCAAUCUCCCGCUUCAAGGCCAAACAGUCUUCCGUUGCAUGUCAAUGAUCUCUAUGGAAAUCACAAUACUUAUUCUUGUCACGAGUAUCGGGGGGAGAUCGCAAUCUGGGAGGCCACUUCAAUUCCCUCGAAUCCUUGAUCUCCAUCAGAAUGUUAGACCUCGAGGUGUUCAAACGGGUAAAGGAUGUUAAGGAGGGGUCCUGCCUUGGCUUGACCCGAGGUGUAUCUUGUCUCAAACUGGACUCAUGCGGCUUUUUCUGAUCCGACCUUCCUGAUGAGGAAACUUCUCUUUUUGGGGCCAUGAUUUCUUCCAUAUUGAUGUACUUCUUAGCUCGUGUGAGUAGCUCGGUGACUGACUUCGAUAGGGUCUUAGACAAGGACAUCUUGAAUGCUUCGCAUUUAAUGGCGUAUGUCAAAGUUGAGACUGCAGCGGUGAUAUGUAGAUUGGGGAUCUGAAGCAUUUAUUUAUUGAAACUGGUCAUGAAACUACGCGGUGUCUCAUUGGGUCCUUGAAGCAUCUGCAUGAGUGAUACAGCUGUCUUUCUGAUUCACUUGCUGCUCGCAAAGAAAGUGGAGAACUUAUUGGCUAAAUCUGAGAAGGAGGCGAUAGAGUUCGGUUCUAAUGUGGAAAACCAAUCUCUAGCUGCGUUUGUGAAAGUCUGAGGGAAUGCCUUGCAUAUUACUGCAUCUGGUGCAACCUAUAAGUUCAUGAUAUCUGUAUACACAUUGAGAUGAUUAAUGUGGUCGGUUGUCCCAUCGUACUCCUUUAUCUGAGGAUACUUGAACCUGUCAAGGAGAGGGUGGAGAGGACUUCCGGAGUGAAUGGCGUAUUGGGGGUGAAUCCUAUUACUGCCUGAGUAUUUUGUUGCAUACCUGCCGCUAUCCCUUCUUGAAUAAUUCUAGCAAGUUCAGCGGAGUCCAUUGUAACAGACCUUAAACUUGAAGCCAUUUGCAGUGCACCUGAAGUUCCAAUCCCGCCAUCAUCAUGAGCUGUAUGACGGACUCGAACCCAAGUGUCUGCCAUAAAACCACCUUCGGGGGUUGGGGUAUGCGAUGUGUACGAAUUUCUCUAGCUUAGUAAUUGGGUUAAUGCGGCAACCUGCUAAUGAAGUUCCUCAAAAGCUCCGGCGGUAACAACAGCUUGAGGAGGUGUUGGCAUCUCCUACGACUCUUCUUGAGGGACAUGGCGUUCCUCAAGAAGAGAGUUAUCCGGGACAAACGAGCUUGUUGGAAGAAGACAUGAACAUGUAUUGACCAUGGCUUUUGGUAGCGUUUCCCAUAGACGGCGUCAAUGAUGCUACUAGAAAAUAGUACCUGAGAGAUCUCGAACUUGAUGAUCGAACUCCAAACUUUGAUAAAUACGAAAGGUCUUCGAAUACCUGCAACAAAGGCAACGAGAUGUGUAUUUGUCGCCCCUUCGAUGCUUAAGUCAGAUAGGAAAAUUAAUGCGUAAGACUGUUAACUGGAA
This 3718-nucleotide long non-coding RNA is filed under the name Olea europaea subsp. europaea. The record is from RNAcentral. Lineage: Eukaryota; Viridiplantae; Streptophyta; Magnoliopsida; Lamiales; Oleaceae.